This is a long non-coding RNA of Sander lucioperca (pikeperch), 839 nucleotides long. RefSeq lists it as uncharacterized. Lineage: Eukaryota; Metazoa; Chordata; Actinopteri; Perciformes; Percidae. The record is from RefSeq and is a predicted model, not a curated record. The transcript is spliced from 3 exons.
AGCCUCUAGUCUCUCUCUAUAUCUAGGGAUAGGACAGGAAAGAUUUCUGACUAGGCAGCCACAUCUACACAGACCAGGCAGAGCUAAUGAGACAUAAUAAAAGUACGACUCUGUAAAGAUGAAGAGAUGAGAUGGAGGAAGACAACGAUGACAACACAGCAGCUGGAGGAGGAGGAGAGUCUGAAACCAAAUCUGUUCCAUCUGCAGCCAAUGAGAACGUGAUACCUAACACACUUGUGUUAAUUGGUGAUACAAAUUCCAUUGAGAUUGGAUCAAAAAACAUCUUACUUGACCAUGACGGACAAACUAACAUGGAACAGUUUUCAACCAAACUGUAUGAUUUGUGUGGUCGGCACAUCUCUGUCAUUAACAUGCUUGGUCUACAAAACAUUGAUAAAUGCCCAUUUAAUCAGGAAAUUCAUGCAUUUCUCUUACUGUUACCAAAUGGUCGGCAUACCAACCAUUACAGUUCAGGACUGCAGUGGUUAGAAAAAGCUUUUGGGAAAGGAUCACUUGAUUAUGUAAUGACAGUUGUGACUCAUAAGUCAGGUGAAAACUCUGAAAGUGCCCUGACAGACCUGAGAGCAAACAGCAGUUUUGUUGAAAAAAGAUUCCACACAUGUACAAGAAGUAUGAUGGAUGAAAUAGAGAUAAUAGCUCUGCUGGAAAAAAUAGACAUCAUGGUCUCUGAAAAUGAUCACCACUGCUACAGUGGAGUGACGUGUGAUGAAAAUAAAAGGCAGAAACUACACCUGCUGGACUACAAAUCCCACAAAGAAGAAAGAAUGGAUUUCUCAGUGUAUCAGCAAAAUCAAACAGGUGAGAUUAUAAAGUUAGCA